Molecule: ribosomal RNA, 478 nt
Filed under: uncultured bacterium
Lineage: Bacteria
Description: partial 16S ribosomal RNA
Rfam family: Bacterial small subunit ribosomal RNA
Source: RNAcentral
GACGAACGCUGGCGGCGUGCUUAACACAUGCAAGUCGAACGGUAAGGCCCUUCGGGGUACACGAGUGGCGAACGGGUGAGUAACACGUGGGUGAUCUGCCCUGCACUUCGGGAUAAGCCUGGGAAACUGGGUCUAAUACCGGAUAGGACUCCUGGCUUCAUGGUUGGGGGUGGAAAGCUUUUGCGGUGUGGGAUGGGCCCGCAGCCUAUCAGCUUGUUGGUGGGGUGAUGGCCUACCAAGGCGACGACGGGUAGCCGGCCUGAGAGGGUGAUCGGCCACACUGGGACUGAGAUACGGCCCAGACUCCUACGGGAGGCAGCAGUGGGGAAUAUUGCACAAUGGGCGCAAGCCUGAUGCAGCGACGCCGCGUGAGGGAUGACGGCCUUCGGGUUGUAAACCUCUUUCAGCACCGACGAAGCGCAAGUGACGGUAGGUGCAGAAGAAGGACCGGCCAACUACGUGCCAGCCGCCGCGGUAA